CAGGUCGGCCGGAUGGACGCGGGCAAAUUGGUGCCCGAGGAAAGUCCGCACACCAUAGGGCAGCAUGCCGGGUAACCCCCGGAAGGGUGCAAACUCUUGGACCAGGGCCACAGAAAGCAUACCGCUCACCUACAAAGGUGAGUAAGGGUGAAAAGGUGGUGUAAGAGACCACCGGCGGGUGCAGUAAUGCAUUCGGACAGGCAACCCCCAUGCGGUGCAAGGUCAAGCAGGAGAGAAGUCCUUUGGACGGGAGCGGCCCGUUUCCCAAUCAUCUCCGGGUAGACUGCUGGAGCUGACGGGUAACCGUCAGCCAAGAUAGAUGUCCAUCCAGGCGGUAUCUCCGCCAGACAGAAUGCGGCUUACAGGCUGACCUGGAUA
Molecule: RNase P RNA, 378 nt
Filed under: Anaerolineaceae bacterium
Lineage: Bacteria; Bacillati; Chloroflexota; Anaerolineae; Anaerolineales; Anaerolineaceae
Description: RNase P RNA component class A
Rfam family: Bacterial RNase P class A
About the family: Ribonuclease P (RNase P) is a ubiquitous endoribonuclease, found in archaea, bacteria and eukarya as well as chloroplasts and mitochondria. Its best characterised activity is the generation of mature 5'-ends of tRNAs by cleaving the 5'-leader elements of precursor-tRNAs.
Source: RNAcentral